Molecule: long non-coding RNA, 307 nt
Filed under: Prunus persica (peach)
Lineage: Eukaryota; Viridiplantae; Streptophyta; Magnoliopsida; Rosales; Rosaceae
Description: long non-coding RNA (PPER_LNC005466)
Source: RNAcentral
AAGAAUAACGGAAGCUGAAAAUAUUACAAAGCGGGAGAGAGCUAAAUGUGGAAAUGUGAUGUCUACUUUUGGCGAAAUUCUUGAGUGAGGCUGCCCUAUGUGGUAACUCUCACGCCACAUUGUGAGAGUGUUGCAGUAUAUGUAAGGAUACGAGAAACUACUCAUAAACAAAAGAGAAGAUAUAAAAUUUGUUUAUAUAGUGGCCCCGGUAAAAUCUCUUCUAUAUCACUAAGAACUUACAAAUAAAAAGUACCUUUAAAACGUUUACAAAUUAUUUGUGUGUUGUAAUUUACGGAUCUCACGUUGU